This 497-nucleotide ribosomal RNA is filed under the name uncultured bacterium. RNAcentral describes it as "partial 16S ribosomal RNA". It matches the Rfam family "Bacterial small subunit ribosomal RNA", at positions 28 to 507 of the family's 1533-position model. The record is from RNAcentral.
GACGAACGCUGGCGGCGUGCCUAAUACAUGCAAGUUGAGCGCUGAAGGUUGGUACUUGUACCAACUGGAUGAGCAGCGAACGGGUGAGUAACGCGUGGGGAAUCUGCCUUUGAGCGGGGGACAACAUUUGGAAACGAAUGCUAAUACCGCAUAAAAACUUUAAACACAAGUUUUAAGUUUGAAAGAUGCAAUUGCAUCACUCAAAGAUGAUCCCGCGUUGUAUUAGCUAGUUGGUGAGGUAAAGGCUCACCAAGGCGAUGAUACAUAGCCGACCUGAGAGGGUGCUCGGCCACAUUGGGACUGAGACACGGCCCAAACUCCUACAGGAGGCAGCAGUAGGGAAUCUUCGGCAAUGGACGAAAGUCUGACCGAGCAACGCCGCGUGAGUGAAGAAGGUUUUCGGAUCGUAAAACUCUGUUGGUAGAGAAGAACGUUGGUGAGAGUGGAAAGCUCAUCAAGUGACGGUAACUACCCAGAAAGGGACGGCUAACUACGUG